RNAcentral lists this ribosomal RNA (1570 nucleotides) under Vannella sp. ASL3. RNAcentral describes it as "SSU rRNA". It matches the Rfam family "Eukaryotic small subunit ribosomal RNA", at positions 20 to 1471 of the family's 1831-position model. The record is from RNAcentral. Lineage: Eukaryota; Discosea; Flabellinia; Vannellidae.
GUAGUCAUACGCUUGUCUCAAAGAUUAAGCCAUGCAAGUCUAAGUAUAAAUCGUUUUUACUGAUGAAACUGCGAACGGCUCAUUAAAUCAGUUAUAGUUUAUUUGAUGGUAUUGGGAUUUAUCCCAACUACAUGGAUAACUGUAGUAACCUAGAGCUAAUACAUGCAUAACAAUCUAACUUUUUGGAAAGAUUGGCACUUAUUAGAUAUCAAACCAAUACCUUCGGGUUUUUUUGGUGAACCAUAAUAACUGAACAGAUCGCAUGACCUUGUGUCGGCGACGUUUCAUUCAAAUUUCUGCCCUAUCAACUAGAUGUUAGUAUAUAGGACUAACAUGGUUUUAACGGGUGACGGGGAAUUGGGGUUCGAUUCCGGAGAAGGAGCAUGAGAAACGGCUACUACUUCUAAGGAAAGCAGCAGGCGCGCAAAUUAUUCAAUGGAAACAACUUUCCGAAAUAGUGACAAAAAAUAACAAUACGUUGCACUAAGUGUGAUGUAAUUGGAAUGAGUACAACUUAAAACCCUUAACGAGUAACAAUUAGAGGGCAAGUCUGGUGCCAGCAGCCGCGGUAAUUCCAGCUCUAAUAGCGUAUAUUAAUGUUGUUGCAGUUAAAAAGCUCGUAGUUGAAACUUGAAUAUUCUAAUAAGUUUGGUCUAUCUUUAUGAUAUGACUACUUAUUGAUAUUCUUCCUACUAGUAACUCGAUACUGUUCUUAAUUGAGUGGUAUAGCAAUCUUUUGGGGUUGUCAAUAUAUAUUUUUGGCUCCUCCAUAAUAUGGAUAGGUGUAAAAGUCUUGAAGUGUUAUGAGUGGAUUAAGUUAAAGGUGUAUAUUGGAGUUCUAGUUCAUUUACUUUGAGAAAAUUAGAGUGUUUAAAGCAGCCUCUUGGGGCUCUGAAUACAUUAGUAUGGGAUAAUAGAAUAGGAUUUAAAUUAUAUAUUUGUUGGUUUGAAUUAUUUAAAUAAUGAUUAAUAGGGACAGUUGGGGGUAUUUAUAUUGGAUGGUUAGCGGUGAAAUGCAUGGAUCCAUUCAAGAUAAACUAAAGCGAAAGCAUUUACCAAGGAUGUUUUCAUUAAUCAAGAACGAAAGUUAAGGGAUCGAAGAUGAUCAGAUACCGUCGUAGUCUUAACUAUAAACUAUGCCGACCAGGGAUAUGAGUUGUUAUGAAUGACUUUUUAGUUAUUCAAUUUCCUCUUGUGGACCUUGUGAGAAAUCAUAAGUCUUUGGGUUCUGGGGGGAGUAUGGUCGCAAGGCUGAAACUUAAAGGAAUUGACGGAGGGGCACCACCAGGAGUGGAGCGUGCGGCUUAAUUUGACUCAACACGGGAAAACUUACCAGGUCCAGACAUUAGAAGGAUUGACAGAUUGAUAGCUCUUUCAUGAUUUAAUGGGUGGUGGUGCAUGGCCGUUCUUAGUUGGUGGAGUGAUUUGUCUGGUUAAUUCCGAUAACGAACGAGACCUUUACCAUACUAAAUAGUUUUGCGUAAUCUUUUGAUUACGUACUAUAACUUCUUAGAGGGACUAUUGGUUCUUAAACCAAAGGAAGUAAAGGCGAUAACAGGUCUGUGAUGCC